RNAcentral lists this ribosomal RNA (509 nucleotides) under Cellulomonas sp. S5. RNAcentral's name for it is "bacterial SSU rRNA". It matches the Rfam family "Bacterial small subunit ribosomal RNA", at positions 360 to 879 of the family's 1533-position model. The record is from RNAcentral. Lineage: Bacteria; Bacillati; Actinomycetota; Actinomycetes; Micrococcales; Cellulomonadaceae.
AAUAUUGCACAAUGGGCGCAAGCCUGAUGCAGCGACGCCGCGUGAGGGAUGAAGGCCUUCGGGUUGUAAACCUCUUUCAGCAGGGAAGAAGCGCAAGUGACGGUACCUGCAGAAGAAGCGCCGGCUAACUACGUGCCAGCAGCCGCGGUAAUACGUAGGGCGCAAGCGUUGUCCGGAAUUAUUGGGCGUAAAGAGCUCGUAGGCGGUUUGUCGCGUCUGGUGUGAAAACUCAAGGCUCAACCUUGAGCUUGCAUCGGGUACGGGCAGACUAGAGUGCGGUAGGGGUGACUGGAAUUCCUGGUGUAGCGGUGGAAUGCGCAGAUAUCAGGAGGAACACCGAUGGCGAAGGCAGGUCACUGGGCCGCAACUGACGCUGAGGAGCGAAAGCAUGGGGAGCGAACAGGAUUAGAUACCCUGGUAGUCCAUGCCGUAAACGUUGGGCACUAGGUGUGGGGCUCAUUCCACGAGUUCCGUGCCGCAGCAAACGCAUUAAGNGCCCCGCCUGGGGA